RNAcentral lists this ribosomal RNA (212 nucleotides) under Blautia sp. AM47-4. RNAcentral describes it as "partial 16S ribosomal RNA". It matches the Rfam family "Bacterial small subunit ribosomal RNA", at positions 1332 to 1533 of the family's 1533-position model. The record is from RNAcentral. Lineage: Bacteria; Bacillati; Bacillota; Clostridia; Lachnospirales; Lachnospiraceae.
UCGCUAGUAAUCGCGAAUCAGAAUGUCGCGGUGAAUACGUUCCCGGGUCUUGUACACACCGCCCGUCACACCAUGGGAGUUGGUAACGCCCGAAGUCAGUGACCCAACCGUUUACGGAGGGAGCUGCCGAAGGCGGGACUGAUAACUGGGGUGAAGUCGUAACAAGGUAGCCGUAUCGGAAGGUGCGGCUGGAUCACCUCCUUUCUAAGGAA